This 578-nucleotide long non-coding RNA is filed under the name Capsicum annuum. Its description in RNAcentral is "long non-coding RNA (CANN_LNC015587)". Lineage: Eukaryota; Viridiplantae; Streptophyta; Magnoliopsida; Solanales; Solanaceae. The record is from RNAcentral.
UGCUGACCGACAUAGAAAUGGCCGAGCCAAUGACCUUUCUGUAUGACAACAUUGUUUAAAAACCUGUAAGAGGUCUGGGCUUAUGGGAUACUAACUGGAUGCUUGGAUCUUGUGUAUAUAGAAGAGCCUGUGAAAUAAUAAUUUUUUAUUUCAAGUCACACUUUACUUUACUUUAAAUUAUAUGUACAUGUAAUGGCAAUAAUUUUUUUCUGAUAGAAUAAAAGUUGAGGUUUUUAUAAUGCAAUAGAUUGUCAAUCUGUUGUAAAAUAUAUUUUAUCUGUUCUGGCAGAUAGUUUAUCUGUUACAGGUUACACGAGCGGCUCGCAUGCGCUUGCACAUAUUGAAUGUUUGCUGACCGACAUAGAAAUGGCCGAGCCAAUGACCUUUCUGUGUGACAACAUUGUUUAAAAACCUGUAAGAGGUCUGGGCUUAUGGGAUACUAACUGGAUGCUUGGAUCUUGUGUAUAUAGAAGAGCCUGUGAAAUAAUAAUUUUUUAUUUCAAGUCACACUUCACUUUACUUUAAAUUACAUGUACAUGUAAUGACAAUAAUUUUUUUCUGAUAGAAUGAAAGUUGAG